GGAAAUGCUCCUUUCCAAGCCCACGGGCUACUUCCUGAUCCGUGUCAGUGAAAGCAGGAUAGGAUACACUCUCUCCUAUCGUGCCACUGAUCGCUGCAGGCACUUCAUGAUCGAUGUGCUGAAGGGCAAUCACUACAUUAUUGUAGGAGAGGACAUGCGUCACAGGGCACUGCAAGACCUGGUGAACUUUCACUGUACGGUGCCUGUCAUGCAUUUCAAUGAGCUGCUGACUGUAGCUUGUGGACAGGUAGAUCGUACUGCUAAACCAGUGCCAUUGCCCAGAAAGAUACUUAGUCACCGCGGCCCAGCCAGACCAACCUCCUGAGUUACCUGCCAGAGCUCCCUGCUCUUCCACAGAGAAAGAUCAAGGACCAGAGCAGCACUGCACCUGAAGGGCCCCCCAGGACCCAUGAUGGUGUGUACAGACAGAUGACCACAGGCCCGACCAAACACACACCACCAGGACCCAAAUCCCAACAAACAGAAGAAUUAAGAUGUAAAGUCAGAGGAAGUUCCAUAAUAAGAGAAGUGCCUCUCAGGAGCACAUGUAUGCAGAGAUCAGUGUGGAGGCUGAGCAGAGGCAAGGGGAAACAGUCCUGGAGGCCAGAGAGGGACAUUGAUACAGCUGGUGAGAACGAGUACCAGAUGCUUCCAGGAGAGAUUGCCAAUGGCCCUCCACCCAUUACUGAUGUUACCACUGUUAGACCCACAUACAGGGGGUUACCGCCAAAAUACCUGCCCCCACCUCCUUUUGCCCUUGGAUACUAAUGUCCACUUCUCUACCCUCGAAUGGAUGGAUGGAUGGCUGGAUGGAUGGACACAUUAAUGUAGUUGUAGCAUGCAAGACUGUUCAUGAGAGAAAGAUGUCUGUUGAAGGCAAUGAUGAGUUAAAAGUUAAUGACGGUCUGAGGAGUUCAUUAUUUAACUGUAUAUCUAUAAUUUAUUUUACAAAUUAACAUUGAGUGCUAUUUAUGUCUGCAAUAAUCUCUGGUUAGUAGUUAGACAAUGUCCAAUGCUUUAGAAUACUGUGUAUGGUGGACUAUUUCAUAUCAAAUGUGAAAAUAAUUUAGUUUUAUGUCAUGUGAGGAAUUAUGUUAAACAUCUUGUUAAAAUUGGCAAGUCUGCUCUCAGAAAGGUUCUGGUCUAACUGGAUUGAUGAGGAAUGUGAGUAAAUUGGGAAACUCCAGUGACAGUGUGGGCAUUCAGGUGUAGGUGGGUCAUUCCACGAAAUGAAUGCCUUUUGUGUCCCUUUGAUAUUUUAAGUAGAAAUUGUGCACCAAUAUUUUUUGGGGGGGUUAUAUUAAAUGAAGUGCCC
This is a long non-coding RNA of Coregonus clupeaformis (lake whitefish), 1315 nucleotides long. RefSeq lists it as uncharacterized. NCBI's taxonomy places the organism in Eukaryota, Metazoa, Chordata, Actinopteri, Salmoniformes, Salmonidae. The transcript is spliced from 3 exons. The record is from RefSeq and is a predicted model, not a curated record.